UCCGUAGGUGAACCUGCGGAAGGAUCAUUAACGAGUCUUGAAAGCGGGGGAGGUCUGUUGCUGGCGUGCUUAAGCACGUAUGUGCACGGCCCCCCUCGUACUCAAUCCACUCAACAACCCCUGUGCACUAUAUGGGAGGUAGUAGUUGGCGGUUAUCCGUUUUAUUAGUUAGUAGUCGUAAGGCGAACACUUACUUGUAUUUGCGGAUUUGUUGUCGGCGAACACUUCAAUAUACACAAACCCAUUCUAUUGUUAUGUUGAAUGUAUAGCUCCUUGUGGGCGAAAUCUAAUACAACUUUCAACAACGGAUCUCUUGGUUCUCGCAUCGAUGAAGAACGCAGCGAAAUGCGAUAAGUAAUGUGAAUUGCAGAAUUCAGUGAAUCAUCGAAUCUUUGAACGCACCUUGCGCCCCUUGGUAUUCCGAGGGGCAUGCCUGUUUGAGUGUCAUGUUCAUAUCAAUUUCCUUGUUUUCCUUGUGGUUAACUUGGAUAUUGGACUUGGAGGUUAUUGCUGGCCCCCCGGUUGUGUGUGGUGGUCGGCUCCUCUUAAAUACAUUAGCUGGGCUUUGGCUCGCGUUGACGGUGUAAUAGUAAAUAUAAUAAGACAUUCACCUUUGCGCUUGCCUAGAGGGUCUGCUUCUAAUUGUCUUCGGACAAAGACAUUAUUGUCUUUCUUGACUCCUUGACCUCAAAUCAGGUAGGACUACCCGCUGAACUUAAGCAU
RNAcentral lists this ribosomal RNA (723 nucleotides) under Phellinus setulosus. RNAcentral's name for it is "eukaryotic LSU rRNA". The stretch from base 294 to 447 matches the Rfam family "5.8S ribosomal RNA". Lineage: Eukaryota; Fungi; Basidiomycota; Agaricomycetes; Hymenochaetales; Hymenochaetaceae. The record is from RNAcentral.